RNAcentral lists this ribosomal RNA (1047 nucleotides) under Salmonella enterica subsp. enterica serovar Miami. RNAcentral describes it as "partial 23S ribosomal RNA". It matches the Rfam family "Bacterial large subunit ribosomal RNA", at positions 711 to 1756 of the family's 2925-position model. The record is from RNAcentral. Lineage: Bacteria; Pseudomonadati; Pseudomonadota; Gammaproteobacteria; Enterobacterales; Enterobacteriaceae.
AGACCCGAAACCCGGUGAUCUAGCCAUGGGCAGGUUGAAGGUUGGGUAACACUAACUGGAGGACCGAACCGACUAAUGUUGAAAAAUUAGCGGAUGACCUGUGGCUGGGGGUGAAAGGCCAAUCAAACCGGGAGAUAGCUGGUUCUCCCCGAAAGCUAUUUAGGUAGCGCCUCGUGAAUUCAUCUCCGGGGGUAGAGCACUGUUUCGGCUAGGGGGCCAUCCCGGCUUACCAACCCGAUGCAAACUGCGAAUACCGGAGAAUGUUAUCACGGGAGACACACGGCGGGUGCUAACGUCCGUCGUGAAGAGGGAAACAACCCAGACCGCCAGCUAAGGUCCCAAAGUCAUGGUUAAGUGGGAAACGAUGUGGGAAGGCCCAGACAGCCAGGAUGUUGGCUUAGAAGCAGCCAUCAUUUAAAGAAAGCGUAAUAGCUCACUGGUCGAGUCGGCCUGCGCGGAAGAUGUAACGGGGCUAAACCAUGCACCGAAGCUGCGGCAGCGACACUAUGUGUUGUUGGGUAGGGGAGCGUUCUGUAAGCCUGCGAAGGUGGCCUGUGAGGGUUGCUGGAGGUAUCAGAAGUGCGAAUGCUGACAUAAGUAACGAUAAAGCGGGUGAAAAGCCCGCUCGCCGGAAGACCAAGGGUUCCUGUCCAACGUUAAUCGGGGCAGGGUGAGUCGACCCCUAAGGCGAGGCCGAAAGGCGUAGUCGAUGGGAAACGGGUUAAUAUUCCCGUACUUGGUGUUACUGCGAAGGGGGGACGGAGAAGGCUAUGUUGGCCGGGCGACGGUUGUCCCGGUUUAAGCGUGUAGGUGUGUGUUCCAGGUAAAUCCGGUUCACUUUAACACUGAGGCGUGACGACGAGGCACUACGGUGCUGAAGCAACAAAUGCCCUGCUUCCAGGAAAAGCCUCUAAGCAUCAGGUAACACGAAAUCGUACCCCAAACCGACACAGGUGGUCAGGUAGAGAAUACCAAGGCGCUUGAGAGAACUCGGGUGAAGGAACUAGGCAAAAUGGUGCCGUAACUUCGGGAGAAGGCACGCUGACA